This 205-nucleotide unclassified non-coding RNA is filed under the name uncultured fungus. RNAcentral describes it as "sequence contains ITS1, 5.8S rRNA gene". The record is from RNAcentral. Lineage: Eukaryota; Fungi.
CUGAGAUUGGAGUGGGCAGUUUUGCUGGCAACGGCGGCUGUCUCACAUCCUACAACACAUGUGAACUGUACUCGUAUUUGGCAAGUGAUGGCGUCUGCUUUUAGCAGUUUGUCAGAGUUUCCUGUUAUAGGAAAGCUUGCCACUGUUUUACUACUUUUGUUCAUUGUGAGCCUAAUUAAAUGCAAAAUACAUUAAAUGUAUGAAA